CAAGUCGAGUGCGCGUCUGUAGCAAUACAGAUGGCGCACGGCGCACGGGUGCGUAACACGUGGGCAAUCUGCCCUUCGAUGGGGAAUAACUCCGGGAAACCGAAGCUAAUUCCGCAUAACAUUCCUUGGACUGCGGUUCGAGGACUCAAAGCCGUAAGGCGUCGAAGGAGGAGCCCGCGCCCGAUUAGCUAGUUGGUGGGGUAACGGCCCACCAAGGCAAUGAUCGGUAGCUGGUCUGAGAGGAUGGCCAGCCACACUGGAACUGAGACACGGUCCAGACUCCUACGGGAGGCAGCAGUGGGGAAUCUUGCACAAUGGGCGAAAGCCUGAUGCAGUGACGCCGCGUGGGGGAUGAAGCAUCUCGGUGUGUAAACCCCUUUCGACCCGGAAGAAUGCCUCGCAAGAGGACUGACGGUACGGGUAUAAGAAGCCCCGGCUAACUACGUGCCAGCAGCCGCGGUAAGACGUAGGGGGCCAGCGUUGUUCGGAAUUACUGGGUGUAAAGGGUUCGUAGGCGGUGCGGCAAGUUGGGAGUGAAAUCUCUGGGCUCAACCCAGAGGCUGCUUCCAAAACUGCCGUGCUUGAGUGUGGGAGAGGCGCGUGGAAUUGCAGGUGUAGCGGUGAAAUGCGUAGAUAUCUGCAGGAACACCCGUGGCGAAAGCGGCGCGCUGGACCACUACUGACGCUGAGGAACGAAAGCUAGGGGAGCAAACAGGAUUAGAUACCCUGGUAGUCCUAGCCCUAAACGAUCAGGACUUGGGGUGCCACCCGUUCGGGUGUCGUCCCGGAGCUAACGCGUUAAGUCCUGCACCUGGGGAGUACGGUCGCAAGACUGAAACUCAAAGGAAUUGACGGGGGCCC
RNAcentral lists this ribosomal RNA (861 nucleotides) under uncultured Acidobacteriota bacterium. RNAcentral's name for it is "bacterial SSU rRNA". It matches the Rfam family "Bacterial small subunit ribosomal RNA", at positions 58 to 922 of the family's 1533-position model. The record is from RNAcentral. Lineage: Bacteria; Pseudomonadati; Acidobacteriota.